This is a long non-coding RNA of Megachile rotundata (alfalfa leafcutting bee), 364 nucleotides long. Lineage: Eukaryota; Metazoa; Arthropoda; Insecta; Hymenoptera; Megachilidae. The record is from RefSeq and is a predicted model, not a curated record.
GAUACUUCGUAAAUAAAGAACGCGGGCCAAGCAGCGACGUGUAACAGCUGAUCCGUCUUCUGGGGUCAACGCCCUGAGACAGAUUCUCCCACCACCUGCUUCGCCACGCGACACUGGAAUAGGUCAGUGCGAGCAUACUAUGAUGUAAUAUUCCUACCCGUAAUGAGAGAUGGUGGUGGAACUGAGGGACAGUGGUGGGAUGCAUAAUUGCGAAUCGCGGAAUAGAUCGUCGAUCCAGCAAUUGCAAAUUGAUCAUGGACGGAGUUAUACACAUACGCGAAGAUGGAACUAGCUCAAACUGCAGCACAGGAAACAGAGAAGACAACAGAAUCGAAGGAAACAAAUAUGGAGGAGAAAGAAAGAA